RNAcentral lists this ribosomal RNA (274 nucleotides) under uncultured bacterium. Its description in RNAcentral is "partial 16S ribosomal RNA". It matches the Rfam family "Bacterial small subunit ribosomal RNA", at positions 523 to 796 of the family's 1533-position model. The record is from RNAcentral.
CUACGGAGGGUGCAAGCGUUACUCGGAAUUACUGGGCGUAAAGGACGCGUAGGCUGGUUUGCAAGUCAGGGGUGAAAGCCUACAGCUUAACUGUAGAACUGCUCUUGAAACUGCUUACCUAGAGUAUGGGAGAGGUGAAAGGAAUUAGUGGUGUAGGGGUAAAAUCCGUAGAGAUCACUAGGAAUACCGAUUGCGAAGGCGUUUCACUGGAACAUUACUGACGCUGAGGCGUGAAAGCGUGGGGAGCAAACAGGAUUAGAAACCCUAGUAGUCC